This 441-nucleotide ribosomal RNA is filed under the name uncultured bacterium. Its description in RNAcentral is "partial 16S ribosomal RNA". It matches the Rfam family "Bacterial small subunit ribosomal RNA", at positions 338 to 795 of the family's 1533-position model. The record is from RNAcentral.
CCUACGGGCGGCUGCAGUCGGGAAUAUUGCGCAAUGGAGGAAACUCUGACGCAGUGACGCCGCGUAUAGGAAGAAGUUUUUCGGAAUGUAAACCAUCGUCGAUAGGGAAGAGAAUGGACAGUAUCUAAGGAGGAAACUCCGGCUAACUACGUGCCAGCAGCCGCGGUAAUAUGUUGGGAGCGAGCGUUAGCCGGAAUUAUUGGGUGUAAAGGGUGCGUAGACGGGAACACAAGUUAGUUGUGAAAUCCCUCGGCUUAACUGAGGAACUGCAACUAAAACUAUUUUUCUUGAGUGCAGGAGGGGUAAGUGGAAUUCCUAGUGUAGCGGUGAAAUGCGUAGAUAUUAGGAGGAACACCAGUGGCGAAGGCGACUUACUGGACUGUAACUGACGUUGAGGCACGAAAGUGUGGGGAGCAAACAGGAUUAGAUACCCCUGUAGUC